Salvia miltiorrhiza (redroot sage) is the source of this 390-nucleotide long non-coding RNA. RefSeq lists it as uncharacterized. The transcript is spliced from 2 exons. Lineage: Eukaryota; Viridiplantae; Streptophyta; Magnoliopsida; Lamiales; Lamiaceae. The record is from RefSeq and is a predicted model, not a curated record.
CCAAACAUUUGUUUUCUCUCCAUAUAUUUUCACAAUGAAAACAACCCAAAUAAUCUGUCUCUCUACUCUUGUAGCUAUUUUACUGUACUCUCAAAUUCUCUCAACCUCUGCACUUCGCAUACCAAAUCUAAACCAUGAAGAUGUAGCCAUGCAAAACCACUCUCAGGAGAUGGAUGAUGAUGUUAGAAGGGAAUCUAAUGAAGAAUUGGAUUUGGCGACAAUUGCUGAUUAUCCCCCUGUUGGGCCCAAUCCGCGUCACGAUCCUCCUCCACCACAUCGUUCUUAAAUGAAAAUGCCUAAUUUCAUGUGGAAUUUAGAAUGGAUGUAGUCGUGAUUUUUGUAAUAAAAUUUGAUGCCAUUCUAUUAUUAUAAAUUUCUAAGUGCUUUUAA